UGGGGAAUCUUCCGCAAUGGGCGCAAGCCUGACGGAGCAACGCCGCGUGAGUGAAGAAGGGUUUCGACUCGUAAAGCUCUGUUGUCGGGGACGAAUGUGGAGAUGGUGAAUAAUCAUUUUCAAUGACGGUACCUGACGAGGAAGCCACGGCUAACUACGUGCCAGCAGCCGCGGUAAUACGUAGGUGGCGAGCGUUGUCCGGAAUUAUUGGGCGUAAAGGGCAUGCAGGCGGUUCAUCAAGUAGGAUGUGAAAUCCCCGGGCUCAACCUGGGAACAGCAUACUAAACUGGUGGACUAGAGUAUUGCAGGGGGAGACGGAAUUCCAGGUGUAGCGGUGGAAUGCGUAGAUAUCUGGAAGAACACCAAAGGCGAAGGCAGUCUCCUGGGCAAAUACUGACGCUCAUAUGCGAAAGCGUGGGUAGCAAACAGGAUUAGAUACCCUGGUAGU
RNAcentral lists this ribosomal RNA (448 nucleotides) under uncultured Mitsuokella sp. RNAcentral describes it as "bacterial SSU rRNA". It matches the Rfam family "Bacterial small subunit ribosomal RNA", at positions 355 to 794 of the family's 1533-position model. Lineage: Bacteria; Bacillati; Bacillota; Negativicutes; Selenomonadales; Selenomonadaceae. The record is from RNAcentral.